RNAcentral lists this ribosomal RNA (478 nucleotides) under uncultured bacterium. RNAcentral's name for it is "bacterial SSU rRNA". It matches the Rfam family "Bacterial small subunit ribosomal RNA", at positions 29 to 523 of the family's 1533-position model. The record is from RNAcentral.
AACGAACGCUGGCGGCAGGCCUAACACAUGCAAGUCGAACGCUCGUAGCAAUACGGGAGUGGCAGACGGGUGAGUAACGCGUGGGAAUCUACCCGGUGGUACGGAAUAACCCAGGGAAACUUGGGCUAAUACCGUAUGUGCCCCGAGGGGGAAAGAUUUAUCGCCAUCGGAUGAGCCCGCGUCGGAUUAGCUAGUUGGUGGGGUAACGGCCUACCAAGGCAACGAUCCGUAGCUGGUCUGAGAGGAUGACCAGCCACACUGGGACUGAGACACUGCCCAGACUCCUACGGGAGGCUGCAGUCGCGAAUCAUUCACAAUGGGCGCAAGCCUGAUGAUGCCACGCCGCGUGCGGGAUGAAGGCCCUUUGGGUUGUAAACCGCUGUCAAGGGAAGGGGAAACGUACGUCACGAAUAGUGUCGUGCUUGACUGCUUUUCUAAAGGAACGCCCCGGCAAAACAUGUGCCAGCAGCCGCUGUAA